UACCUGUUUAGCAGUGUUCUCCUAUA
RNAcentral lists this non-coding RNA (26 nucleotides) under Mus musculus (house mouse). The record is from RNAcentral. Lineage: Eukaryota; Metazoa; Chordata; Mammalia; Rodentia; Muridae.